UUCUUCUUCUUCUUCUCCUUCUUCUUGAUUUCCUUUUCUUCUCCUCCUCCUCCUCUUUCUUCUCCUCUUUCUUAUUCUCCUUACCUUAUUUUCCCCCAACAAUGACAUAAUUAGCCCAUUUAGCUCCACAAUGACAUAAUACGAUCAAAAUGGCAUAAAAACCUUGGUUAGCUCAUGAAUAUUAUAUUCUUAGCUUGUUUUCCUCUAAAAUGACUUAAUUAGUCCAUAUAGCUCCAAAAAGACAUAAUUAGAUAAUUUAGCUCCAACUAGAAAGAGGAAGAGGAGAAGAAGAAAAGAAGAAGAGUAGGAGGAGGAGGAGAAGGAGAGAAGAAGAACAACAUAAGAAAGUGAAGGAGGAGAAGCAUCCCUCCUUCUUCUCCUUCAUCUCCUUCUCUCCUCCUUCUUCUUCUCCCUCCUUCUUCACCUUCUUAUUCUCCUUAUUCUUCUCUUCUUUUCCUCCUCCUCCUCCUCCUUCUCAUUCUCCUCCUCCUCCUUCUCCUUCUCCUCCUUCUCCUUCUUCUUCUCUUCUUGCUUAUUCUCUUUCUUCUUCUACGUAGCUUAUUUUCCCCAACAAAGACAUAGUUAGCUAAUUAUCCUCCAAAAUGACAUAAUUAGCUUAGUUAGGGUAAGAACAUCAUAAGAACCUUGGUUAGCUCACAACUUAUCUAAUUAUCCUUCAAAAUGAGAUAAUAAGCUCAAAGUGGCAUAAAAACCUUGGUUAGCUCAUGAAUAUUAUAUUCUUAGCUUGUUUUGCUCUAAAAUGACAUAAUUAGCCCAUAUAGCUCCAAAAAGACAUAAUUAGAUAAUUUAGCUCCAAAAGAGGAGAAGAGGAGAAGAAAUAGGAAAAAUGAAAAGAAGGAAGAAGAAGAAGAAGAAGAUAAGAAGAAGGAGGAGGAGGAGAAGAAGGAGAAAGAUGAGAAGACCUUCUUCUCCUUCUCCUCCUUCUCCUUCUCCUUCUCCUUCUUCUUCGCAUUCUUCUUGAUUUCUUCUUCUUCUACUCCUCCUCCUAUUUAUUCUCCUAUUUCAUAUUCUCCUUACCUUAUUUUCCCCCACAAUGACAUAAUUAGCCCAUUUAGCUCCAAAAUGACAUAAUAAGCUCAAAAUGGC
RNAcentral lists this long non-coding RNA (1107 nucleotides) under Hordeum vulgare. RNAcentral's name for it is "long non-coding RNA (HVUL_LNC003325)". Lineage: Eukaryota; Viridiplantae; Streptophyta; Magnoliopsida; Poales; Poaceae. The record is from RNAcentral.